Molecule: long non-coding RNA, 2314 nt
Organism: Capsicum annuum
Lineage: Eukaryota; Viridiplantae; Streptophyta; Magnoliopsida; Solanales; Solanaceae
Exons: 2
Source: RefSeq, a predicted model, not a curated record
UCAAUCCUCUUCACUAACUACUAGGCUCCAUCCCUGGGUGAUCUUCUUUUUCUUUUCUUUCUUUUGAUCUGUAGUGUAAUUCAGCAAGAGAGAUCUCAUGAUCUUCUUUUUCUUUUCUUUCUUUUAUCUGCAGUUAGGGAUGGCAAUCGGGCGGUACGGGUGCGGUGUGGUACGAGUUUUAAGCUAUGCGGGGCGGUGCGGAUUUUAAGCUAUACGGCGAGGUGCGGGUGCGGAUGCGGGGCUGGUUAAAGUAAUUUUUUUUUUAAAUGGUGCGGUGCAGUGUUGGUUGCAGGUAUAUGCGGGUUUAAAUUUAAAAAAUUAAAAAUUAAUAUUAUUCUCGUGAAUAUACCUAAAAUUAUAUGUAUUUUUUACUUAAAAUUUUAUGAUACUUAAAAUGACAUAUAUAACACUAUAAAUAAAUAAUUUUAUAAUUUUUUUAAUAUCUCUAUUCAUUUUUAAAAAAAAUGAUAUUUGAUUAUUACUUGUACACGUGAUACUUUUUGACAAUUUCUUAGUGAAAAAUGAUAUAAUAGAAACUAAUUGUUAUUAUUUCCUAGUUAUAGAUUUGAAAAUAUUAUGAUUUUCAAAGGAGUUAUGAAUUUUUCAAAAAAAUAAAAAAAAUAAAAUAUGGGGCGGCGUGGUGCGGGUAUGAGUGUGGGGCGGGUUUAUGCCGAUUUAAAGGAGAUGUAUUGCGAUGCGGUUUUAAAAUUUGCGGGUUUAGAAAUAAUUCGGCAAGAGAGAUCUCACGAGAGGGGAGAAUAUUAUCAUUUGCAGAAAACUAAACUUAUUGGAACUGUGUAUUUUCUAGGUACUAUCAGUAGUGCAUAACUAGUCCAUGGAGGUCUUUUUACUCUUUAAUAACGUGAAGAGCUUUGGCCCUCAAACAACUUGAUUUGUCUAUAUAAUUCCGGUAAAACAUUGAAUUUAGUUACUCACUAUCUUUAGCUACGACUGCCAAAUCCUUAUAAAAGAAUUUUAUAAUCUUAUCAAAUAGAGAUGACUGCCAAAUAGUGUCUCUGUCAUGAGUGCUACCAUAUGUAGUUAUAACUGUACUCACAUGCUGAUUAAAGAUCAAACACUGUGGGUAGUAGUAGUAGUACAAUUCAAAAAAGGGAGGUACUGCGUGCCCUGAUGGGGCAGGAGAGGGUGAGUACUGUGAUUUGUAGUCCACAGAUUGCUCAAGUUGUUAGGAGCUUUGUGUUCUUUAGGUUCUAAGCAUCAACUUCAUAAUACUUUGUGCCUUCAACUGAAGCUGUUGCAGCUCUUGGGAAAAUAGUCAAUAAAACAAGUUAAUAUUCUUCCCUGCAACAGCCAACAGACUGGUGAACUGUCAGCUUACUUUGAUGUUUAUGCCUUCAUUUUUUAAUGGUAGUAGCCCGUCUCCAUCUGGGACUUUUUGGUGCUUGGAUGUUUAGAACUGAAUAUUGGUAAAAACUUUUAUCUACUGUCAUUCUUACUGCUUUUCUAGUAUGACUUGUUUAUGCUUGAUAAAAGAAAGCUGCUUGUUUACAUUAGGCUUGGUGAAUAGCGAAACUAUAUCUUACCCCCUGCAUCUGCCAGUUGAGUACGAGGUGGGAAUUGUUUAGGGAUAUGUACUUGUAUGUACUCUCAUAGCUGGAUAUGGUCAAACUAGUGCAAGUGAAAUUUUUGACAAGGUUCUUGGUACAAGUUGAAUAACAUGCUGCUGCUGCUCGGAGAUCAUAAACUCCUGACUGGCCUACGUUGUUAGUUGAACACACAUAAUUGGAUGAUUUUAUGGUUAUUUUAUACCCUCACUGGAACAGUAAACUUAAAAGCAAUAGUGUCAAGUGUAAUCUUAUCAUUUGGCUCAGCACUACUUGCAGAAUUGGAUGAUCGCAGUUUCAGGUGGAGAAGGAACGGUUGCCAGAAGUUUGAAGGAUAGAUGAUUACAGAAAAUUCUCUACCUGCUAUUUUACCAGAUCGAUAAUGUAGUGUAACUGGUAGAGGAAGUGUUGAUGGAAGUGUGGCCUAAUGGUUAAUGGAAGUGGUUGAGGAUCAUGAGACCUUAGGUUCAAAUUGCAGCAGAAACAAAAAUAGUGGAUGAUUUUUUUUUCAUCUGCCCUAGCCGUGGUGGAUUACUUGAUACCUGUUGCUACCUCUGCUGCUGGUGAGAGGUGGGAGGUGGGAGGUGGCUGGUGGAUUUAGUCAACCUUGGUGGAAUAUUAAAAUCUAGUUUGUAGCUUGAGGGUUAGAAUCUUAUUUUUUAAAAUAUGGCAAUGUACUGUACUGGUAAGUAUGACCUUGAUUUUUGGUAGAAUACAUUGGGCAGACCCCUCAUCAUGACACCAUUUUU